This is a long non-coding RNA of Salvelinus namaycush (lake trout), 547 nucleotides long. RefSeq lists it as uncharacterized. The transcript is spliced from 3 exons. NCBI's taxonomy places the organism in Eukaryota, Metazoa, Chordata, Actinopteri, Salmoniformes, Salmonidae. The record is from RefSeq and is a predicted model, not a curated record.
UAGCGGGCCAAUGGAGACUCAUUGUCUACGCCUCCAUCUAAACCCCACCCUUCACGGAAAAUAAUACUAAAACUCGCAAUCAAAAAGACUGGCAGUGAUAGCAAAGCAACAGACAUCGAAAGCAAAGAUACGAGUAAGCGUAACCAAAAGGCUACUGUUUGGCCGUAGCCCACGCCAAAUAAAUGAAAGAUAACCUACAAACCAACCGGAACCUUCUCUUGUGGAAGCACAGACAUAAGAGAAAGAACAAUGGCUAAACCUGGUCUUAACUUCCAAUGCUCCAUCCCCCUGCCCAACCCCCCUCCACGCCACUCCGCCAACCACCAGGACGCCCUGCAUCAGAACAUUCCUGGCAUUCCCGUGAUUGGCAUGUCCCUGGCAUGACCCUGCGAACACUGGGUACUGGAAACAAACCUUCCUACCUACCACAGCCAUCCUACAGGACUUGAAACAAGAACUUCUAAGCCUCCACUCCAACCCCUCCAUUCAAACCACCUCAUGUGCCUCUGUAUUCCUGUUUUCUCAGUGUAAUAAAUAUCUAAUACUG